GAUGGCCUCUGGUGGUGUUAGAAGUUGGGUGGAAGAAAAAGUCAUUAAAAUAUAAGAAGGAUUUUCCAUUUACAAUUUGUCACAUCUUAAUAAUGCCAUGACGUAAUAGCCUCCCUUUAACAGAAAAUAAAUUCAAAACUUUUAGGCGAUCAUAAUGGCAACCAGAUCAUAACAACCACCAGUGGCAAGUCUUGGAGAAUUAAAGCACAAUAAGUAGGACAACACUGUGGGGAAAUGGGGAGAGAACUCUUACCUCUCACUCUCUCAACAUAGUUUGUCAAGAUCAAAUCAAAUACAUUACUGGAUGAAUUUAUGAUUGGUUCAGCAAUCAACUGGGUUAAUCCCAACAAGAAUCUUUCAUCCAGCUGAGACAAAUGCAUACCAGUGAUGAAGUUUGUGGUGGAGCAUGUGAGCAGAUUGGGGAUGGCUAGGCAGGCUGGGUGGUCUCUGCAGCCAGCCUGAUAGUAUGCACACCACUCCACUCUCCCUUAUUCCCACCAAGGGAGGCAGUGCACCACAUCUCAUGCAGGACGUACUGCACCGGUGGCGAGGCGUCGAGGAAGCACCUCUUUGUGUUCCUGCCCACCACUUUACUGAACACAUGAAGGUGCUCCAGAGUUUCAAGAAGGGUGGCACACACACUUUGCUGCACUACAAGCUUUUGGAGGUCCAGCGGCACACUGCACACUUCUUUCCUAAACGUGUGUGCAGAGUGCAAGACAGAGUGGCAAGGAUGGAGGAUGCAUCAACAUUCACAGCAUCAUUGGUUCAUGCUUUUUAUUUUUUUUUGUGUGUGUGUGUGUGGAAAGAAGUGCACACAGUUUUAACCGAAGGAUUAUAUGUGUGUGUGUGUGUGUGUGUGUGUGUGGGCAGCAGCUUUAUGGGCAAGUGUGCCAGUCAUUCCUUGAAUUCAAUGUUUUUCAUUUAGGGAAAAAUUGUUGUAUAUAAUUAGGUUUAUAGACAUUUUUGAGUGGGAAUGUUUAGACUGAUUAAAUAGUAAGUUUCUCUACUUUGUAGAGCUUUGCUGUUACUGUUCUGUGUAAGGUUUCAAGGGCCGUAUUCUACAAACCAUCAUAGCUAGUGAUGUGAUUGUAGACAAAAUGGUGCAUUUUAGACACAAGUCCCUCAAUGACAGGCUCUCACCUUGUGACUCGUCAUAAGUUCAGUCUGUUGCAGCGCUGCCAACCACUGUCUUAAAACUCUUCUCAGCAUGGUGAGAGCUUGUUUUAUGUACCAUGGCAUGAUCCCCGACAGUUUUUGAUAUUAAUUAAUGAUAAAUAUCUGUAAUGAUGGCUAAAUAAUGUCCUUUGAUGGAGUAAUUUAUCAUUAUAGAUAACUGCCAAGAGGGUGCGAUCAGUUUUCCAAAAACUCAAACAAACCUUGCUCUGAGUGGCUUGCAUGUGUCAUGUGUCAUGUGUCAGGCUGUUGGGCAUAAUCUUAUGUUUGUCAUGUUUCCUUUGUUUGGAUACACAGUCUUACUAUGAUGUCAAAAUAAUUAGAAUUGUAGAAAUUAUGUCAAGGAUCUAUUUCUUUGUAUACUUAUAUAAAGUUGACAAGUGAUGAGCCCAAAGACCAGCAGUGGAGUGACGGUCAGGCAUUCAGUGAGACCUGAGGCUGACUGUGUAGAAUACGGCCCCAGAAGGACGGUCUGUGUUUUGUGUAUUUAUGGUGACAAUGUAGCGUUGCAAGGGACAACAUGCUGUUUGAGACCAAAGCCAUUGUGUAAGAAAUCAUUGUACAGAGUUGAUAGUUCCUCCUAGACUUUGCAAUGAAAUUGCUGUCAAAAUACUAUUAUGUUAUUGUAUUCAUUUUUUUAAUGUUAUAUUAGACAAAUGUAUGGAUGACCUGUUCAUACAGAGACUGCUGCCAUGUAUGUGCAGGCCUCAUGGUCCAUCUUGCAACUUUCCUAAUUUUUUUCUCUAAUACUUUGUAAGGUGAAAAUAUUCCCAGACUAAAAAAUAUAAAAUUGUCCCAAGUUAGAAAUUGCAGAAAUUAUUCUAAGUUGAAAUAUAAAAAUUGUUGUAUGUUGCAAGUUGUAAAAUUUCUGUUGAAAAUUGUUAAAAUUUUCCUAGCUGUUCAAAUUCUAGUGUUGCUUUGUAAAAAUAUCCUAGCUGUUCAAAUUCUAGUGUUGCUUUGUAAAAUGUUCUAAGUCGAAAGUUUUGGUAGAGUUUUCAUCUGAUUUGUGUAAAAUUUUCUAGUUGAAAUUUGUAGUUUCCUAGCUGUACAAAAUUUUCUAAGUCGAAAGUUUUGGUAGAGUUUUCAUCAGAUUUGUGUAAAAAUUUUCUAGUUGAAAUUUGUAGUUUUCUAGCUGUACAAAUUCUGGUGUUACACUGUAAAAUUUUUCUAAGUUGAAAGUUUUGGUGGAGUUUUCAGAGUUGUGUAAAAAUGUGUUGAUUGAAUAAAAGUGAAGGAAGGGAGA
RNAcentral lists this long non-coding RNA (2419 nucleotides) under Portunus trituberculatus (swimming crab). Its description in RNAcentral is "uncharacterized LOC123512461". The record is from RNAcentral. Lineage: Eukaryota; Metazoa; Arthropoda; Malacostraca; Decapoda; Portunidae.